CUCUCCCCGUCGUCGCGGCUGCUGCUGUGGCUCAGCAAUGUCGAGCGCUGGCCGGAGAGGGUAUGCGCUAGUAUUGUUGACCUGUCUGACCUUUGAUACACUCUUCGUAUUGUUGGAGACUAAAGAAUAAUUUUCUUCCUAUGCCGACCAUUGGUAACCAGUUAGAAGUAUCAUGUACUACGUAUACUGUCUCCCUUCAAAUGAAAUCGAUUUUGGAUAAUAAUUUGAUUUUCUUUUCUCACAAAAGACGUGCAAUCAUCUCAUUGCAUUGAUUUUUCAAUUAAAUCUUUUGUUGUGACAAGGUGAAUCUGUGUGAAUUUUCGAGGCUGUCAAUAAUAGUGUAGAGGAGUCAUCCCAUUGGCAUGUUUCCC
This 371-nucleotide long non-coding RNA is filed under the name Hordeum vulgare. RNAcentral's name for it is "long non-coding RNA (HVUL_LNC002553)". The record is from RNAcentral. Lineage: Eukaryota; Viridiplantae; Streptophyta; Magnoliopsida; Poales; Poaceae.